CCACUAUUCAUCCCCCCACUUCAUUACUCCGUUACCCCACUAUUCAUCCUCCCACUCUGUUACUGUUACCCCACUAUUCAUCCUCCCACUCCGUUACUUUGUUACCCUUCUAUUCAUCCCCCACUCUGUUACUGUUACCCCACUAUUCAUCCCCCACUCUGUUACUCUGUUACCCUACUAUUCAUCCUCCCACUCCAUUACUCCGUUACCCCACUAUUCAUCCCUCCACUCCGUUACUCUGUUACCCUUCUAUUCAUCCCCCACUCUGUUACUGUUACCCCACUAUUCAUCCUCCCACUCCGUUACUCGGUUACCCCUCUAUUCAUCCCCCCCACUCCGUUACCCCUCUAUUCGUCCACCUCUCUGCCACCUUUCUAUUCACCCUUUCUUCAUUGGUCUCCCCAUUCUCCUUCUCUCUACCCAAAAGAAUCCACAAAAACAUAUGUUUUUGUGGAUUCAUUUCUAUAUCUCUAAGCUCCUCCCCUGCACCUCCCCCUGUCAGCCCCGCUUUAACCAGAUUACAGAGGAUUCUCUGCUAUUAACAUGCUGUUGGGGCUGUGGCCUGGCAGUGUAUUGUGGUGUCCAGCUGAGCCACACACACCAAACAGAGGGUACAGUAUGAGAGAGAGAGAACUACCUCGCCACUGAUCUGGGUGUGGGGUGAGGGAAACAGGCAGCGAUGUGAUUGGACAAAGGCACAGCCGCACAUCCUUCUAUAGCCUCCAUCUUCUAGCCUUAGCCUAUCGAUACUCCUCUCUACUUCAACCCAGCCCUCUGUCUCAGCCCUGCCUCAACCCAGCCCCGCCUCAUCCCAGCCCUCUGUCCCAGCCCAGCCCUCUGUCCCAGCCCCGCCUCAACCCAGCCCCACCUCAACCCAGCCCCGCCUCAACCCAGCCCCACCUCAACCCAGCCCCGCCUCAACCCAGCCCUCUCUCCCAGCCCCGCCUCAACCCAGCCCUCUGUCCCAGCCCCGCCUCAACACAACCCUCUGUCCCAGCCCCGCCUCAACCCAGCCCUGCCUCAACACAACCCUCUCUCCCAGCGCUGCCUCAACCCAGCCCUCUGUCCCAGCCCUGCCUCAACACAACCCUCUGUCCCAGCCCCGCCUCAACCCAGCCCUCUGUCCCAGCCCCGCCUCAACCCAGCCCUCUGUCCCAGCCCCGCCUCAACCCAGCCCUCUGUCCCAGCCCCGCCUCAACCCAGCCCUCUGUCCCAGCCCCGCCUCAACCCAGCCCUCUGUCCCAGCCCCGCCUCAACCCAGCCCUCUGUCCCAGCCCCGCCUCAACCCAACCCUCUGUCCCAGCCCCGCCUCAACCCAACCCUCUGUCCCAGCCCCGCCUCAACCCAACCCUCUGUCCCAGCCCCGCCUCAACCCAGCCCUCUGUCCCAGCCCUGCCUCAACACAACCCUCUGACCCAGCCUCUAUUCUACUUCAGCCCUCCUCCAGUACUCCCUGGAUCCUGAGUGAGCCUCCACUCCCCCCUGCUCCCCAUGGCAGAUAUCAUGGACCCAGAGGAUACAAUUAUCAUGGACCCUGAGGAUACAAUUGUAAUGGAACCUGAGGAUAGAAUCGGUACAGAACUGGAGGAUAGAAUUCUAAUGGAACCCGAGGAUAGAAUCGGAACAGAACUGGAGGAUAGAAUUCUAAUGGAACCUGAGGAUAGAAUCGGAACAGAACUGGAGGAUAGAAUUCUAAUGGAACCUGAGGAUAGAAUCGGAACAGAACUGGAGGAUAGAAUCGGAACAGAACUGGAGGAUAGAAUUCUAAUGGAACCUGAGGAUAGAAUCGGAACAGAACUGGAGGAUAGAAUCGGAACAGAACUGGAGGAUAGUGUUAAUUUAUCCAGAAGGUUCUGAUGCUGAGGAGCCAGAUGGGAUUCCUAUUGAGCCAGAGGAGCAACAAGAGGGAGAUGAUGAUGAGGAGGAGGAUGAUAACAUCUUUGCCACAUGGAUGGGCUGCUACAAGAAAGCAGCAGAACAGGAGGACAAGGAUAAAGAGGUGGAGAAAAGAGAUGCAGUGAUAGAGGAGAGGAAGAACAGCUUCGAACGACAAGCUCCACCAUGAGCAGACCGGCGGCAAUCACUACCCUGUCUAGUGAGUCUGUGUACAUGCUCAACUCACAGCGAUGAUGCAGUUGUCUCGUCUCCACACCACCGCUAGGGCCACGUCACCCGCCAGGCAAAACUCCCGGCAAUGCAUCUCGUCCACUGACGAUCCUGGCUGCCCGAUACCAGCCAUCCACCGUUCCAGAUUCAAAUGCAGACGUGGCUCCGCAGGCAGAACGUCAUGUCUCCGGGGAGCUUGCUGUGUGUGUGAUGGCCAGAGCGACGCCGAUCAUGUGUGUGUCUCAUCUGCCAUGAUGACCUGCACAGAGGAGGGAGUGGAAUCAGGGAGCUGCACUGCUCUCAUAUCUUCCACAGCCAAUGUGUAUAUAAGAGUGGCUGUGGAGGAGGCAGGUGUGUUGUGUGCAGGUGGUGCUCUUGCCAGAACCACUCUACUCGGGUCAAAGUACCCUGAGAACCACGUCGAACAGCCUAGAACUGGACCCAACCUCUCACAACUGCAUAUAGCUGGAAAGAACUGCCUGGACAGAACUACACAGAACCGGGAAGAACUACACAGAACUGAUGAGAACCGGUGAAGAACUGCAGAAUAACACUCAGAACUGCCUAGCGUUGUAAUGAACCGUGCAGAACUGCUUAGAUACGGACGGAACUUAUCCCUUAAAUCUCUGUAUCUAGAGUGCUGUGCUGAGAGAGAGGGAACGAGAGAGAGAGCUCUCUUCUCUGUAUUCCCCCAAAUCCCAAUAAUCCAGUAUCUUUUAAAAUUGUUUGUGUGAUAGUGUAUGAGUGAAAUGUAUGGAUGUUUUACUUAUAAUUAUCAAUUCAACAUGUUUAUUUCAAGAUUUUGUUUGUUUAGUCGGUAAGGGCAUUUACAUUUUUACAUUGUAUCCCAUCUACGUCUUUGUUUUCUCCUAGUCAUUGAAUAAAAUACUUUGGUUGUUCUAAUUGUAAAAUGUA
This is a non-coding RNA of Salmo salar (Atlantic salmon), 3021 nucleotides long. The record is from RefSeq and is a predicted model, not a curated record. NCBI's taxonomy places the organism in Eukaryota, Metazoa, Chordata, Actinopteri, Salmoniformes, Salmonidae.